Molecule: ribosomal RNA, 253 nt
Filed under: uncultured bacterium
Lineage: Bacteria
Description: partial 16S ribosomal RNA
Rfam family: Bacterial small subunit ribosomal RNA
Source: RNAcentral
UACGUAGGGCCCGAGCAUUAUCCGGAAUUAUUGGGCGUAAAGAGCGUGUAGGUGUUUGUACAAGUCGGUCGUUAAAUCUCAGAGCUCAACUCUGAGACCGCGAGCGAAACUGUACGAAUUGAGGUUUGCAGGGGCUAGCAGAAUUCCUGGAGUAGGGGUGAAAUCCGUUGAUACCAGGAGGAAUACCAAUGGCGAAGGCAGCUAGCUGGGCAAUACCUGACACUGAGACGCGAAAGCGUGGGGAGCAAACGGG